GAUGAACGCUGGCGGCGUGCUUAACACCUGCAAGUCGUACGACGUUCGUUCUAAGCUUGCUUCUAUUAAUCUUAGUGGCGAACGGGUGCGUAACACGUAAUCAACCUGCCCUUAAGUGGGGGACAUCACUUGGAAACCCCUGUUAAUACCGCAUACGAUCUAAUAUCGGCAUCAAGGUAUGAUGAAAGCUCCCCUCUACAUGUAAGCUAUUACUGCAGUAGCGGUUUGUGUCUGAUUAGUUAGUUCACGGGGUAACGGCUCACUAACGCGAUGAUCAGUAGCCGGACGGAGAGGAUGAACAGCAACAGUGAGACGGAGACACGGCCCAGACUCCUACGGGAGGCGGAAGUAGAGGAUCUGCCGCUAGGGACGUAAGGCUGACGGUGCAACGCCGCGGGAGAGAUGACGGCGGUCGGGUUGUGAAUCUCUGUUAAUCGGUACGAAAGGCGGCCUUGCGAGUAGUGAGAAGGGUUGACGGUACCGUAGUAGAAAGCCACGGCUAACUACGUG
RNAcentral lists this ribosomal RNA (510 nucleotides) under uncultured bacterium. RNAcentral's name for it is "partial 16S ribosomal RNA". It matches the Rfam family "Bacterial small subunit ribosomal RNA", at positions 28 to 507 of the family's 1533-position model. The record is from RNAcentral.